This 845-nucleotide long non-coding RNA is filed under the name Malus domestica (apple). RNAcentral's name for it is "long non-coding RNA (MDOM_LNC009580)". The record is from RNAcentral. Lineage: Eukaryota; Viridiplantae; Streptophyta; Magnoliopsida; Rosales; Rosaceae.
CAAGUCGGCUCAUUCGUCUAUAUAUUGAUCGUUAUAGGCCUCUUGAAUCUUCUAUUUACCAUUUUCUUUGGUGUUAGUUAUGUAUAAUGCAGCUUUACUGCUGUUUUCUUUAUUAUUGAUAGGAAUUCUCUUGUUAAGACCCUAUGAAUUGAUUAAAACCUCAGAUUCAUACUAAAAACACGAUGAUUCAAUAAAACACUUUCAAACUAAGUCUAAGUCCCAACAUUCCCUGAGUAAGAACCAUUGGAUCAUCACUUAUUCAAUGAAUAGAUAUAAUGACUAAAAAUCCAAACCAAAGAAACCUUUGUUUUGUUCCUUUGAUCAAAAUAAUCAUAAACGAAAGUUUGAAAGAAUAAAAAUAUUUCUAUUUAUAAUUUCUAACUCUUUGAAAAUAAAAUUUUGAAGUCCGGACACGAGAGGUCUGACUAUUAAGUAUGAAUCAUAGUUCUAAUAGUAAUCUAUUUCAUAUAUUUUGUGCUCCAGAUACUAGAAUGAAUAUUCGACGAAGUAAAACCAUCUCUAUCAAGAUGACAGACCCAUUUCUCUGUACUAUCCUUAGGAUCAUUUAUACCAAGUCACACACUCAUAUUCCUGAAAUACAGAAACAAAGAAAUUCCACGGUCAAACUACCAAAAAAUAGAAUGGGAUAAAAAUCAGAAACCUAAAUGCUUCACUUUGUAUUGAAAAAGCCAGUUAAUGGCUCUUGUGAAUCUAAUUCAUUGAAAUUCUUGAGCAACUUAUGAUCAAGCAUUUUAGGAUGAUAUUCCAGAGUUUUUUAGGAUACCUGUUUAUCUUUGAGAAAGAGAUGAACCAUGAUAUACUUGGCUUUAUUUUUUAUACUGGUG